This 542-nucleotide ribosomal RNA is filed under the name uncultured bacterium. RNAcentral describes it as "bacterial SSU rRNA". It matches the Rfam family "Bacterial small subunit ribosomal RNA", at positions 8 to 526 of the family's 1533-position model. The record is from RNAcentral.
AGAGUUUGAUCCUGGCUCAGAAUGAACGCUGGCGGCGUGCCUAACACAUGCAAGUCGAACGAGAAAGCCCAGCUUGCUGGGCAAGUAAAGUGGCGCACGGGUGAGUAACGCGUGGAUAAUCUACCUUUGUCUGGGGGAUAACCUACCGAAAGGUGGGCUAAUACCGCAUAACGUGAUCGUAUUGCGAUUUGAUCACCAAAGAUGGCCUCUCCAUGGAAGCUAUCAGGUAAAGAUGAGUCCGCGUCCCAUUAGCUAGUUGGUAGGGUAAAGGCCUACCAAGGCGACGAUGGGUAGCUGGUCUGAGAGGAUGGCCAGCCACACUGGAACUGGAACACGGUCCAGACUCCUACGGGAGGCAGCAGUGAGGAAUCUUGCGCAAUGGGGGCAACCCUGACGCAGCAACGCCGCGUGAGUGAAGAAGGCCUUCGGGUCGUAAAGCUCUGUCAAGUGGGAAGAAUAGCCUGAAGACGAAUAAUCUUGAGGUAUGACGGUACCACUGGAGGAAGCACCGGCUAACUCCGUGCCAGCCGCCGCGGUAAUUC